Molecule: long non-coding RNA, 584 nt
Organism: Arabidopsis lyrata subsp. lyrata
Lineage: Eukaryota; Viridiplantae; Streptophyta; Magnoliopsida; Brassicales; Brassicaceae
Exons: 2
Source: RefSeq, a predicted model, not a curated record
AGUUUUUUAAUAAAAAAUCAAAUUCACCAAAAGUCAAAAAAGAGAAAAUAAAAGAAGAAAACGAAACCCAACCUUUAAUUGAAAACCAUCGCCGUUCGACCGCUUUUUGCAGUGUUUGUUUAUGGGUAUUUUGAAGAUUUGUUCUAUUGGAUGUCUAGCUUCAGAUCAGGAAAAACAUCUCCGAGGAAGAAACUUCAGGCAAUGAAGAAUCAAAAGGCUGGGUUCUCAUGAACCGAUUCUCAAAAGGGUUAUCGUCACAUGAAAGAUGAAGGAAUCGUUUCUAAAGAAUCUCUUUUCAUUUUGAUUAUGAGAGAUUACGAAAAAGCUGAGUUUCAUGAACAAACUACAAGAUUGAUGUUGGAUGCGCUAUGGAGAUGGCGAAUCUUCUCCCCGGUGUUUUGUUCAAGCUUCUCCAGCACAUUAACACCGACGUCUUGGCCGUCGGCUUGAACGAUAAUUUGAUGAAUUGGGUUUAGAUUAAUUGUUUUUAUCUUGAUCUUGUCUUUUUUAUUAUAGUCUUCUCCAUGUCUGAAUUAUGUUCAUUAGAAACCAUAACAUCAAUCACAUUGUGAACAAUUGUUCUC